GAUGAACGCUGGCGGCGUGCCUAAUACAUGCAAGUCGAGCGAACGGACGAGAAGCUUGCUUCUCUGAUGUUAGCGGCGGACGGGUGAGUAACACGUGGAUAACCUACCUAUAAGACUGGGAUAACUUCGGGAAACCGGAGCUAAUACCGGAUAAUAUUUUGAACCGCAUGGUUCAAAAGUGAAAGACGGUCUUGCUGUCACUUAUAGAUGGAUCCGCGCUGCAUUAGCUAGUUGGUAAGGUAACUGCUUACCAAGGCAACGAUGCAUAGCCGACCUGAGAGGGUGAUCGGCCACACUGGAACUGAGACACGGUCCAGACUCCUACGGGAGGCAGCAGUAGGGAAUCUUCCGCAAUGGGCGAAAGCCUGACGGAGCAACGCCGCGUGAGUGAUGAAGGUCUUCGGAUCGUAAAACUCUGUUAUUAGGGAAGAACAUAUGUGUAAGUAACUGUGCACAUCUUGACGGUACCUAAUCAGAAAGCCACGGCUAACUACGUG
This 497-nucleotide ribosomal RNA is filed under the name uncultured bacterium. RNAcentral's name for it is "partial 16S ribosomal RNA". It matches the Rfam family "Bacterial small subunit ribosomal RNA", at positions 28 to 507 of the family's 1533-position model. The record is from RNAcentral.